Non-coding RNA from Python bivittatus (Burmese python), 2970 nucleotides. The record is from RefSeq and is a predicted model, not a curated record. NCBI's taxonomy places the organism in Eukaryota, Metazoa, Chordata, Lepidosauria, Squamata, Pythonidae.
GCCCCCGGGGGGGGGAAUCCGGGUCGCCAGGAUGGAGGGGGCCAUUUGGGCAAAUAAGGAAAAUGUUGCACGGAUGGAGGUGCAGCGGGGUCUGAGGUGCAGCAUUCACACUGUGUGCCCGAUUGGGCCGGUGUUUUUCAAACAUGGCCACUUUUAGGUCCACAUAUCUUAAAUUGGCCAAGUUUGAAAAAGACUGGAUUAGGCUAAAAAAGUGGGAAAUGUGUUUCUAGGAGACGCAUGAAUCAGACAUCAUGUUAAGCUUAGCUGGUUUAUUCAUUCAGGUAUUAGUUCUAUAGUCAUUGUAUGGUGGUUUGUUAAUUCAGACUUCCCCCAGGGGUUUGGGCCUGGAGGUUUACUUAUUUUUAUUUAUUUAUCAAAUUUAUAUGGUUGCCCAUCUCACAAAAAGUUACUCUUGGGAGCAUACAACAAUCAAGUAAACCUAUAAAUAUAUAACAACAAUCAUUUUUUAAAAAAUAUAAAACAGUUAUUAUUAAAAUAUACAAACCACCAGGCACAGUAGAGAGUAGAUAUUAACCACAAUGAUGGAGCCAUUAAUAGGAUUAAUAGGGUUCUGCUGGCUGAUGUUUUACUAUAAAUUCAAAUGUUUAUUUACUUAUUAAAUCAAUUUAUAUAGCCACUCAUCUCAAUUGCUGUUUGUGACCUCAGACAUUUAUGGUUUGGAUUGUUUAAAGGGUUGUUCUUAACUUUGUAUGCAGCCAUAGAAAUCAUUUGAAUAAAUAAUUAGGAAAUAGAAAUCCAAAACAUAUUUUAAAGGUAUUCAUCCAAUAUUUUGAGUCCUUGAUAGAAGUUUAUCCAGAAGGGUUCUCCUGAAUUUCCCCCAGAUGCAGAUAAGUCAAUCUACCUAAUAAGAUACUCUCCCUCUUCCCAGACAUUGGUGGGUUCAUAAGACUUUCUUAUUUUGGUUUUUUCUUUGGUGGAGGAUGCUCAGUAGUUACGUUAGUCACCCUGUGUUUCUGGAAGUUUCUUUUCCAUUUCAGAUAUGUAAGCUGGAAAUCUUUCGUGCUUCCUCUGGAGACUAAGGUAUCUUCUAAGUGAAGAGGGCUGAAUGGCCUUGGGAGACUUGUCCAAGACCUCUUCAUGAAGUUCAGGCCUUGUGAAUAGAAAGACCUGUGGAGAUCCACUGGCCCAUUUUGGAUUAGAGAACAAAGAUGGAGGGACAACGCCCAGCAGACGCAGGAGCUGGAAAAGACCCUCCAGCUGCUCAAGAAGAUCAAGGAAGCAACAACUGCAAAGCUUUCCUUAAAAAUCCUGCCCAUUUUCGCCAUUCAAGUGGUCAACAAGGAUUCCCAGCAAUUGUACAAUCUCACUCUUGGCUACAACAUCCAAGACAACUAUAUGAACACCCUUGUGACUUCACAUGCCUUGCUAGACAUGCUGUCUGCUGGAGAAGCCAAUGUUCCCAACUACAGCUAUGGAAGGAAGGACAACCCCUUGGCUCUUCUUGAUGGAGCUGACAAUGACAUCUCCAUCCAGAUGUCCACUGUGGUGGAACCUACAACAUCCUGUAGGUUUGUGUGUGUGUUUCUCUAUCUGACAAAGUGAGUGGCGUGGUGGUAGGUGAGUGAUAGAUCCGGUCAUAACUUGCAUAGAAUUUAAGGACUGCUUUUCACCAUGGCCAUUGUAGGUGUCAGGGCUAUGGAUUGGGGUCCACUCUGGGGAGAAGCAAGGAUCAAAGCAGCCAUAUCCUCUCAUGAUACCAUCCCCAUUACUUUUGGGGCUUCUGCUGCACACUUGUGAAGAUCAAUUAUAAAAUUAUUUCAGAGGCUCUGAAUGAUAAAACUCAAUUUCCUUUUUUCUACUGGAUGGUCCCCAAAGAAGGAAUCCAGCACCCAGCAACUGUCAAACUUCUCUAUGGAGGAAAGCCUUGAUUGGUCUCUUUGCUUCAGACAGAGAAUUUCAUCAGGAAUUCACUCCUGUGCUUGUGAGGAAUGGAAUUUUUGUUGUUGUAUUGCAACGGUUCCCAAGAAAUACAUUUACAAAAUUUGCCCUGAUGUCCUCUCUAAGUGGAGACAAGUCAAUAUCUUUGUUUACUUUAUAGAAAUUGGCAGCCUCAUAGAUGGAGUUGCCCCUGUACAUUGGACACUUGAAAAAUAGCCAGGACCCACUGAAGAGAAAAUCUGUAUCACCACAGCUUUGUGGGUUUUACCUAUGAUAAGUAAGGAAACUUCUAAAUAUGUCCAGAACAUUUGGACCUUUGCUUUCCAGGAAAAAAAGGGCCAAAAGAUUAUGCUUUUCAACCUAUUUUCUUUGUGAGCAGACAGUUUGAAGAUAAGGCUUUUGACUGUUCUUUUUCAAAGCACAUCUUUUCUAUCAAUGGCCAGAGAAGAAAGAGCCACUGGAGACCCGAGAGGAAAGGGACAGGGACUGGUUUGCAAAUGUCCACUGUGUUUAUAGUAUGGUUAAAACUCUGACACAUGCCUGGACACAUGGUUAACUGGACACAUGGUUAUACUGGACAUAGUAUGGUUAAAACUCUGACACAUGCCUUAUCUCAGUUCCACCCCUCAAGACUUUAUCAAGUAGAAAAGUACUUCAUUGCAAUGUGAUAUGCCAGAAGCAAAAGGGAAGAACUAAAUGAAGAAUCUGCAAGUAGUUGUGUCUGUUACAACCGUCUGGGACUAAGAGAUUUCAUAUUUACCUAAGUCAAGCCCAGAGACUACCUUGGCUAAUGUUAAUGUCUACCUCCAUUUUCCAUGGAUGAUUAGUCCUAACACAUUUUCUUUGGCAUUCCUUGUUUUUCUGUUUAGUCUCUGCCUCAGUCCAAAUGUGGGGAAAAUUGUCAUCCUGGAUUUAUUGAGCAGGCUUGGGAAGGAGAGCCAGUUUGCUGCUAUGACUCUGUUCUUUGUCCGGAGGGGAUCAUCUCCACUCAGGAAGGUGGGUGACAUCGGAGGAAAGGGUAUUGGAUUUAUCCAGAGCAUUUUGAUGGAGGUGCAUAUUAAAAGACACAUC